AGUGCACUAUAUAGACAAUAGGGUGCAAUUUCGGAGAGACACUAUGUGUGUUUGCAUGUCUUUUCUCGCGCAGCCUGCAGACAGACGCAAUUUCCUGAGACAGUGGAUAGUCUGUUCUAUCUGUACAGAUUCACUCAGGAAACUAAAUACAGAGACUGGGGCUGGGACAUUCUAGAGAGCUUCAACAGAUACACCAGGGUGCCAAGUGGAGGCUAUACCUCCAUCAGUAACGUGCAUGACCCUGUGAACCCUGGUCCCAGGGACAAGAUGGAGAGCUUCUUCCUGGGGGAGACACUCAAAUACUUCUACCUGUUGUUCUCAGACGACCUGGAGCUGCUCAGCCUGGACAAGUAUGUGUUCAACACCGAGGCCCACCCACUACCCAUCUGGCAAUCUCCUCCGGUCUGAGACAGGACGUGAUGUCAUAGAGGAGUAGCUUACCACCAAGAUCCUGGUUUGAACCUCCUUUCUAGGGUUUAGAAGCCAAACGGCUGCCUUCUUCUCAAGGGAUCCGGCUUGACUCACUGUGGUGUGCCGGUGCACAGUCAAAGACUCUUCAAUAGGCUUUCAAGUGGAGAACUUUGGGAUUAUCCUGGGAUCGGGGCGAUGCCAUAGAGCUGGUCUCUGUUGUACUAAGGAUUUGUAAUUUGAGAAGAUGGGUGGCUUGCUGUUCAGUUCAAAAGAAACAAGACGACAGGUCUACGAAAUUAACUUAAAAUGAACUACAUGUAGGUUUAUUGCAGAGGUGGGAUGACUAGGAGAGAAAUUAGACUAAGCCUCCCCAGGUGCCUGUUUGAUUAUUUUCUAACACUGGACAGACAGUAAUAUCAUCCUCUCCCUUCCCGUCCCUGACGGGCUGACAAAGAAUAUGAAAUAUGGUGGAAAUACCUAAAGUUGGUCAUGGUUUUGCACAGAUUGUUCCUGUACAUUUAUGUUCAAGCAUGAGUCACCUUGAAGAAGUGAAUACUGAAUACAUCGGUUGGCAUGUUGAGAGGGAACGCUCUAUCUCAAGGCUCUUUCACUAGUCCCUCUCCUUGAUAGGCAUUACCACAUAAAUAGAAUGAGUAGAAUGGUCUCCAUUCAAAUCAAUGAUGCCGUAAUGGGUGGACCUUGCGCCCAUUUAACACUGAUGGCCUGCACAUGUAAUGUCCUUGAUCAUUGUUACACUUGGGGCCACAGCGCACAAUGACAGCUGUUUAUUAUGUACUUAUGGUGAAUGUGUCCUUUUUAUUGAUAUUUGUUUUUUGAUGUGUUUUUGUGAGCACUUAUGAGAAGUCUAACUGUCCCGUAUCAUGGGAUUGUAUGAAGGGUAAUUGAGAGUGUAAUGUCUUCUAGGCAAUGAAGUAAUGGUCAGUUUGGAUAAUGUGAUUUAUCCAAUGCAGACAUUUGUGUAGCUAAAUAACUCAAUAUUGUUAUGUGAUGAGAAUUUAAUGCAUAUUUUAUUUGGGCCAAUAUGUCUUUAUCCGUCUCAUCAUGAGGGAGUUCAAGUUUAUGCAAUCGAUUUGUAGGCUAGUCUCUCGUGACUGAACUGUGAGAUUUGGGUUCUGGGUUCCGAGAUGAAUCGACAUGCCACUGCCUAAUUAAAGUGAUGUGCUGCCACACAGAAUUCUCAUGUUUUAGAUGUUUCGCUUCUGGGUAGAAUAUUUUCUUGUUGCUUGAAUUAAAUCUACAAACCCAGACUCCUCAUCAGUCAGAAGUAUUACCAGAAUUAGGCUAAUGAACUACCAGAAUUAAUAUAGACUAGUCAGUCCCUAUGAGAAGGGUACUUGUUUUCUUGAGGUGUGGGUGAUAAUGGUUAAUGUUUUCCUUACAAGUUUCAGGUUUUAUUAGUGCCUUCAGAAAGUAUUCAUACCACUUGACUUAUUCUACAUUACAGCCUGAAUUCAAAAUUAAUUACAUCUUUUUUUUUCUCACCCAUCUACACACAAUACCCCAUAAUGACAAAGUGAAAACAUGUUUUAUAUAUAUUUUUCACAUUUAUUGUGUUUGAAAUACAGAAAUAUCAAGUGUACAUAAGUUCACACCCCUGAGUCAAUACUUUUUAGAAGCGCCUUUGGCAGCGAUUAGAGCUUCGUGUCUUUCUGGGUAAGUCUUGAAGAGCUUUCCACACCUGGAUUGUGCAACAUUUGCCCAUUUAUUAAAUUAAGAAAAUUCUUCAAGCUCUGCCAAAUUGAUUGGUGAUCAUUGCUAGACAACCAUUUUCAGUUCUUUCCAUAGAUGUUCAAGUAGAUUUAAGUCAAUACUAUAACUCGGCCACUUAGGAACAUUCACUGUCUUCUUGGUAAGCAACAGAUUUGGCCUUGUGUUUUUGGUUAUUGACCUACUGAAAGGUGAAUUUAUCUCCCUGUGUCUGUUGGAAAGCAGACUGAACCAGGAUUUUGCCUGAGCUUAGCUCCAUUCCUUUUCUUUUUUUUAUCCUGCAACACUCCCCAGGCCUUAACAAUUACAAACAUACCCAUAACACGAAGCCACCACUAUGCUCAAAAAUAUGGAGAGUGGUACUCAGUAAUGUGUUGUAUUAGAUUUGCUGCAAACAUAGCACUUUUUAUUCAGGACAUUUGUUUUUUGCAGUAUUACUUUAGUGCCUUGUAAACAGGAUGCAUGUUUUUGAAUAUUUACAUUUUGUACAGGCUUCCUUCUUAUCACUCUGUCAAUUAGGUUAGUAUUGUGGAGUGACUACAAUGUUGUUUGUCCAUCAUUUUUUUUCCUAUCACAGCCAUUAAACUCUGUACUUAAAUUCACCAUUGGCCUCGUGGUGAAAUCCCAGCGCGGUUUCCUUCCAGAGUUAGGGAGAACUGUAUCUUUGUAGUGACUGGGUAUGUUGAUACACCAUCUAAAGUGUAAUUAAUAACUGCACCAUGCUCAACGGGAUAUUCAAUGUAUGUUGUUUGUUUUUUAUCUACCAAUAGAUGCCCUUCUUUGCAAGGAAUUGGAAAACCUC
Salvelinus fontinalis (brook trout) is the source of this 2941-nucleotide long non-coding RNA. RefSeq lists it as uncharacterized. The record is from RefSeq and is a predicted model, not a curated record. NCBI's taxonomy places the organism in Eukaryota, Metazoa, Chordata, Actinopteri, Salmoniformes, Salmonidae. The transcript is spliced from 2 exons.